UUUUAAAUAGUCUCACAGUAAUUUUACGAACUGCAGUACGUUUGACAUUAAAAUCGUUAUGAUUAAAUCAUUAUGUGAUGUAAAGAAAUUUUGGCAUUUUUGUAGACCGGUAACCAAUUGUAGACGCCAGUAUUGUGUGUUCUUAAAUGACCACAAGGUAGUGAUUCCGAAACAUUUGGUUAUGUCAGAUAAUUACUUGAGGUCGUGUUUGAAAACGGUGACUACAAUUUUAUCAUUCUGCCCAUCCAGACAGCAAGAUGGAUUAGAGACGGAGAGAAACGACUCACCAAUUAAAGUAACUUCAACCAAAAAUAAGAGACGUAGAAUUUUGAGCGAUAGUGAUGAAGAUGUGGAUGCCUCAACCAGCUUGUCACCACCAGGGAAGAGAAGUGUGUUGGCAAUUGAUCCUGCCCCUAAGCAGUAUGGAAAUAGAAACCAUUCUGUUGCCCCUGAAGGAAUUAUGCCGAGGAAGACAGCUCCCACUUCAUUCAGAGGAACGGAACAGCCAUUGGCAAGCGUUGCCAAGGUGGUUGAGGCAGCCAGAGCAGGCAGAGCUGAUACAGAAGGGGAACAGGUGAGUGUGCAGCAUAUGAAUGCAGAUGUUAAGAAAGAAGUGAAGAAUUGUAAAAAAGUUGACUCUGAAGAAAAUGUUGCCUCACAAGAAAGAGGGCCCAGUGUUAAAGAAGGGGCAGGUGAAGAGAAGAACCAGGCUACAGAAGGAAGCCACAUAGAGAAAGACAAGAACAAGAAAGUACCAUCAUCAAAAAAAACAGUUCGCAGCUUCUUCGCUCCCCAUAAAAGCACAAAUGCAACACAGCAAAGGAGAACAUCUCCAUCACCUGAGAAAGCCGGUAGUCUGUCUAGAAAACCAGCUGGUGGCAAUAAAAUGGCACCAAAGGAUGCUGGGAUGAAUUAUGACCCCACAAAACAAAGUUAUCAUCCCGUGGAUGAUGCAUGUUGGAGCAGAGGAGAUAAAGUGCCAUACCUUGCCUUGACAAGAACCCUGGAGGCAAUUGAAGGCGUGAGUGCUCGUCUCAAGAUAAUUGAAAUCUUGGCGAACUACUUUCGCUCAGUGAUGCUUCUCAGCCCAGAUGACUUGCUGCCCAGUGUGUACCUUUGCCUUAACAAGUUGGCUCCGGCCUAUGAAGGUAUUGAGCUUGGCAUAGCAGAGACAACUCUCAUGAAGGCUAUUGCACAGAGUACAGGAAGAACUAUUGCUCAAAUCAAGACAGAUGUUAAUAACACUGGAGAUUUGGGUAUUGUGGCUGAACAGAGUCGCAGCAAUCAGUGUAUGAUAUUCCAGCCUGCAAAACUUACUGUUCAGAGUGUGUUCAGCAAACUGAAGGAUAUUGCACAGAUGUCUGGCCAAUCUGCAAUGAGCAAGAAAGUGGACAAGAUUCAAGCAAUGUUUGUGGCAUGUCGACAUUCAGAGGCCCGUUUCCUCAUCCGCUCCCUUGCUGGCAAGCUGCGUAUCGGUCUUGCUGAACAGUCUGUGCUGCAGGCUCUUGCUGUUGCAUGCGCUACCACACCCCCAGAGCAGCCGUACCCCCCUGCAGUUAUCAAUGCAGCUAAGGGUAUGUCACAGGAUGCAUUUAAGGCUAAAGUGGAUGAAGAAGCACUUAUAUUGAAGGCUACUUAUAGUGAGUGUCCAAAUUAUAACAGGAUAAUUCCAGUGCUCUUUGAGAAAGGAAUCAGGGCUCUCCCCAACCACUGCCACCUCACUCCAGGAAUCCCCCUGAAACCAAUGUUGGCACAUCCUACUAAAGGUGUGCAGGAGGUGUUACAUCGAUUUGAGGAUCUCAAGUUCACUUGUGAAUGGAAGUACGAUGGUGAACGUGCUCAGAUACACCUCGCAGAAGAUGGAGCCGUAACUAUUUACAGUCGCAAUCAAGAAAACAACACCAGCAAGUAUCCAGACAUUAUUGGGCACUUUCAUAAGGCACUGGGCAAAGAUGUCACCUCAUGCAUCUUGGACUGUGAAGCUGUGGCAUGGGACAAGGAGAAACAGCAUAUCUUGCCAUUCCAAGUCCUUAGCACCCGCAAAAGAAAGGAUGCAAAUGAAGCGGAGAUAAAAGUUCAGGUUUGUGUCUUCAUGUUUGACCUCUUAUAUUUAAACGGGAAGGCAUUUGUACGAGAGCCUUUGUUCAAAAGACGCAACCUGCUUCGUGAAACGUUCCAUGAAGUGGAAGGAGAGUUUAGGUUUGCCACGAGUAUUGAUACCUCAACUAUGGAAGAAGUCCAAGACUUCUUGGAAGAAUCUGUUAAAGGGAACUGUGAGGGUCUAAUGGUGAAGACACUGGAAGAAGAUGCGACGUAUGAAAUUGCCAAAAGGUCACGAAACUGGCUGAAGCUGAAGAAGGAUUACCUUGAAGGUGUUGGAGAUACACUGGACGUGGUGGUCCUGGGAGGCUACUUGGGGCAUGGGAAGCGGGCAGGAACAUACGGAGGUUUCCUGUUAGCCUGUUAUGAUCGAGAGAGUGAAGAGUACCAAAGUUUGUGCAGGAUUGGCACAGGAUUCAGUGAUGAAGAUCUCCAGAAACACACAGAGUUCUUCAAGCAACAUGUGAUAGCACAGCCACGGCCAUACUAUCGGUAUGACAGCCAGCAUGAACCAGACCAUUGGUUUGAUGUGGUCCAGGUCUGGGAAAUAAAGUGUGCUGACUUGUCUCUGUCUCCUGUCCAUCGAGCUGCCGUUGGAAUUGUGGAUCCUGUGAAAGGAAUCUCAUUAAGAUUUCCUCGAUUUCUCAGGAUUCGUGAUGAUAAAGCAGUUGAAGAUGCUACCACAGCAUCACAGGUGGCUGAACUCUAUGGAAGCCAGGAGCAGAUCAAGAAUCAGCAGGGCUCCAGUAAAUUUGCUGAAGAGGACUUCUAUUAGGAGGGCUACAUAUCGUCUGAUUUUGCCAUUCAGUUUUCACAAGUUUCUGUAUCAGUAAUCAUGUACCUUGCAAGUGGAUGCAGUUUCAAAUACCUACAUUACAGCUAUCGAGUAGGUAGAUCAACAGCCAGUCAAGUCGUACGAAUAGUUUGUCAAAUUAUCUGGCACGUACUGAAAGAAGAAUGCUUUCAUACUCCAAAUGAGGCCACAUGGGCUAGAAUUGCGCAAGAUUUUCAAAAUACAGCAUCUUUCCCCAACUGUCUUGGGGCAGCUGACGGCAAGCAUAUCCGUAUAGUUAAACCUGAACGAAGUGGGUCGUUGUACAUGAAUUACAAACAUUUUUCCAUUGGGUUAAUGGCAAUAGCCGAUGCAAGUUACAGGUUCACUUAUGUUGACAUGGGUUCUUUCGGCAAAGGCUCAGACUCCACUAUAUUCAAGAAUUCUUCGCAUUGGAAACAAAUGGAGCUCGGCCUUCUAAGAAUUUCUCCACCUAAACAGCUGCCUGGAAGUAAUGACGCAGUACCAUUUGCUUUUGUGGGGGAUGAAGCAUUUGCAUUGUCUAUGCAUCUGUUACGACCAUAUUCUGGUACACAUUUGCCAGUACAGAAACGUGUCUUCAGCUACAGAUUAUCGCGAGCUAGACACUAUGUGUUCCUUUGGCAUUCCGUCAAAUAAAUGGAGAAUAUUUCACAGGCCACUGGAUGUAAACGUUGAUUUUGCAGUUGACAUUGUCAAAUGCUGUUAUAUUUUACAUAACUUUGUACGUGAUCAAGAUGGGUUCAAUUUGGAUGAUUCCUUGACUUUGUGGUUUAGAAGAGAGGCCUACCGUUAGUAGUUUUGUUGUAAAUAAAACACCACACGUUUUCGAGAUAUGUUGACUAAAUAUUUUGUUAGUGAUAGUGGUAAAUUGCCAUGGCAGCUUGAGAGGAUUAAGAAAGAGCCUAACUUCAUAUUCCCAUGUAAAAGCAUGUAAACAAUAACAUUAGAACAAUACAAAGUACCCGUUGUAGCAUGGUAUUGUACUCACCAAUUAAUUUUUGUUGGUCUUGAGACUGGUUGUCAUAGUCUUCAAAUAAAAUCUUCAAUGCUUCAACCCAA
This is an RNA transcript of Cryptotermes secundus, 3973 nucleotides long. It is a transcript of the gene named DNA ligase 1, with no coding region annotated. The transcript has 17 exons. The record is from RefSeq and is a predicted model, not a curated record. Lineage: Eukaryota; Metazoa; Arthropoda; Insecta; Blattodea; Kalotermitidae.